Molecule: long non-coding RNA, 710 nt
Organism: Tripterygium wilfordii
Lineage: Eukaryota; Viridiplantae; Streptophyta; Magnoliopsida; Celastrales; Celastraceae
Exons: 2
Source: RefSeq, a predicted model, not a curated record
CCCAAACCGCAUCCACAAUUGGCCCAUGAGGUUGUACCUCUUCCUUCGCCUCUACGACCAUAGUUGUCCUGCAGCUUCGCUCAGCUUGUUGUUCCGCUCAAGCGUCUGCAAGAAAUCGAAAUCUAAAUCUGGUUGUCUGGAAUGAAGCAAGUAGCUCACCCUCAGAAGCAAUGGAUAUCCUAUGUGACCCAGAGUGGUAGAUUGAUGAGUGUUAUGAUGACAAAAAUCCAUAAUGUUGGCAAAGUACAUCACUUCAGAGCAAAGCGCCAAAUGGCUGAAAGUUUAGGUCAGACUACCAAAUUUAAGCGUAGAUAUGGGCUGGAGAAUGCUGAGGAGGAGGCUAAAAAGAGACUUUGAGGUGUGGUAUUCAAGAGUUAGAUCUCUCAUGCAUUUAUGUUGCGUUAAAAAAGUUGAACUUUGGUAGUAUUUUGAAGCACAACUGUCUCGUUUAGUUGUUUCUUCGUUUGCCAAAUCCUAAGAAUUAUCAUUGUUGAUUUAUCAUGUAUCCAAGGAAGGAAUGAAGUUCCUUACUGAAAAUUAGUCUCUGUCUCCAACUCUCUUUCAUUACUUUACAUCCCUGAUUCGUUUUCUUUUCCUCUUUUUUUUUUCUUUGAACAUUUUGUUCAAUCAAUCUAUGUAUCUUUGUUUUAUGGACAACAAUGAAGAUGAAUUACUGUUAUCCUUUCAUAAACAUAUCUGCAUUUCCUUUU